RNAcentral lists this ribosomal RNA (254 nucleotides) under uncultured bacterium. Its description in RNAcentral is "partial 16S ribosomal RNA". It matches the Rfam family "Bacterial small subunit ribosomal RNA", at positions 524 to 776 of the family's 1533-position model. The record is from RNAcentral.
UACGAACCGUGCGAACGUUAUUCGGAAUCAUUGGGCUUAAAGGGCGCGUAGGCGGCGGUGUAAGUUGGAAGUGAAAUCCCAUCGGCUCAACCGUGGAAUUGCUCCCAGUACUGCAUCGCUCGAGGGGGAUAGGGGUUUGCGGAACUACCGGUGGAGCGGUGAAAUGUGUUGAUAUCGGUGGGAACGCCAGUGGCGAAAGCGGCAAACUUGACCCUUCCUGACGCUGAGGCGCGAAAGCUAGGGGAGCAAACGGG